GGAGAGAUGGCUGAGCGGCUGAAGGCGCCGGUUUCGAAAACCGGUUCGUGCGUAAGUGCGACGUGGGUUCGAAUCCCACUCUCUCCG
Molecule: transfer RNA, 87 nt
Filed under: Planctomycetia bacterium
Lineage: Bacteria; Pseudomonadati; Planctomycetota; Planctomycetia
Description: tRNA-Ser
Rfam family: tRNA
About the family: Transfer RNA (tRNA) molecules are approximately 80 nucleotides in length. Their secondary structure includes four short double-helical elements and three loops (D, anti-codon, and T loops). Further hydrogen bonds mediate the characteristic L-shaped molecular structure. tRNAs have two regions of fundamental functional importance: the anti-codon, which is responsible for specific mRNA codon recognition, and the 3' end, to which the tRNAs corresponding amino acid is attached (by aminoacyl-tRNA synthetases). tRNAs cope with the degeneracy of the genetic code in two manners: having more than one tRNA (with a specific anti-codon) for a particular amino acid; and 'wobble' base-pairing, i.e. permitting non-standard base-pairing at the 3rd anti-codon position.
Source: RNAcentral